This 321-nucleotide small nuclear RNA is filed under the name Ailuropoda melanoleuca (giant panda). RNAcentral describes it as "7SK RNA". It matches the Rfam family "7SK RNA". Rfam says of the family: 7SK was discovered as an abundant small nuclear RNA in the mid-70s but a possible function has only recently been suggested. Lineage: Eukaryota; Metazoa; Chordata; Mammalia; Carnivora; Ursidae. The record is from Rfam by way of RNAcentral.
GGAUAGGAGGGCUACCUGACUGCUACGUCUUCUCCUCAUUGGUCGCCAGGGCUGGUUCGGAUGAUCUGGCUGGCUAGGCGGUGUCCCUUUCCUCCCUCACUGUUCCAUGUGUGUCCCUCCCAAAGCCAUGUGCUCAGUUGGAGAGUAUGCCUUUCGCUGGUAGAGGAGGACUGCUCCUCAGUCAGGCAUAGAUGAGGAGCUGUGCUCCCUUGCUAGACCCUCCAAAUAAGCUUCCAAGGUCCUGCCUUCUUUGGGGGAAAAAAACCAUCAUAACAGUACUUGCUUGUAGUGUUCCUAUGAAGUUUGAAUGGGUUAAUGCAU